AUUGAACGCUGGCGGCAGGCCUAACACAUGCAAGUCGAAUGGUAACAGGAAACAGCUUGCUGUUUCGCUGACGAGUGGCGGACGGGUGAGUAAUGUCUGGGAAACUGCCUGAUGGAGGGGGAUAACUACUUGAAACGGUAGCUAAUACCGCAUAACGUCGCAAGAACAAAGAGGGGGACCUUCGGGCCUCUUGCCAUCAGAUGUGCCCAGAUGGGAUUAGCUAGUAGGUGGGGUAACGGCUCACCUAGGCGACGAUCCCUAGCUGGUCUGAGAGGAUGACCAGCCACACUGGAACUGAGACACGGUCCAGACUCCUACGGGAGGCAGCAGUGGGGAAUAUUGCACAAUGGGCGCAAGCCUGAUGCAGCCAUGCCGCGUGUAUGAAGAAGGCCUUCGGGUUGUAAAGUACUUUCAGCGGGGAGGAAGGGAGUAAAGUUAAUACCUUUGCUCAUUGACGUUACCCGCAGAAGAAGCACCGGCUAACUCCGUG
RNAcentral lists this ribosomal RNA (490 nucleotides) under uncultured bacterium. RNAcentral's name for it is "partial 16S ribosomal RNA". It matches the Rfam family "Bacterial small subunit ribosomal RNA", at positions 30 to 507 of the family's 1533-position model. The record is from RNAcentral.